UUUUUAAUUAAAAACUAGAAUGAAAGGUUAUACAUUCAAAUUUCUUUAUUAAUUUUUAAUAAAUAAUUUAUAUUAAAUAUAAAAAUAUAUUUAUAAAAAAAAAAGACGACAAGACCCUAUUAAAUUUUACUUAUAGUUUAGCUGGGGAAGCUUUUUAAUUAAAAUUUUUUAAAUUUAAUAAAUAAAAAUCUAAUAAAAUUAAAAUUUUAAUAAAUUACUAUAGGGAUAACAGCAUUAUAUUUUUUUAAAGUUCAUAUUAAAAAAAAAAAUUGUGACCUCGAUGUUGAAUUAUAUUUUCUAUAUUUAAUGCAAUAAUUAUAAAAGUAGAUCUGUUCGAUCUUUAAAAUAUUACAUGAUUUGAGUUCAAACCGGUGUAAACCAGGUUGGUUUCUAUCUUUUUAUAUAUUUUUCUAGUACGAAAGGACAAAAAAAUUUUUAUUUCAAUAAAUUAGCAAAUAAAUGCAUUAGAUUUAGAAUCUAAAUAUAUUUAAUA
Molecule: ribosomal RNA, 493 nt
Filed under: Anelosimus oritoyacu
Lineage: Eukaryota; Metazoa; Arthropoda; Arachnida; Araneae; Theridiidae
Description: partial 16S ribosomal RNA
Rfam family: Bacterial large subunit ribosomal RNA (bases 100-399)
Source: RNAcentral